ACGCUGGCGGCAUGCCUAACACAUGCAAGUCGAACGAGACCUUCGGGUCUAGUGGCGCACGGGUGCGUAACGCGUGGGAAUCUGCCCUUGGUUCGGAAUAACAGCGAGAAAUUGCUGCUAAUACCGGAUAAUGACGUAAGUCCAAAGAUUUAUCGCCAAGGGAUGAGCCCGCGUAGGAUUAGCUAGUUGGUGUGGUAAAGGCGCACCAAGGCGACGAUCCUUAGCUGGUCUGAGAGGAUGAUCAGCCACACUGGGACUGAGACACGGCCCAGACUCCUACGGGAGGCAGCAGUGGGAAUAUUGGACAAUGGGCGAAAGCCUGAUCCAGCAAUGCCGCGUGAGUGAUGAAGGCCUUAGGGUUGUAAAGCUCUUUACCCGGGAUGAUAAUGACAGUACCGGGAGAAUAAGCUCCGGCUAACUCCGUG
RNAcentral lists this ribosomal RNA (425 nucleotides) under uncultured bacterium. Its description in RNAcentral is "bacterial SSU rRNA". It matches the Rfam family "Bacterial small subunit ribosomal RNA", at positions 33 to 507 of the family's 1533-position model. The record is from RNAcentral.